This 548-nucleotide ribosomal RNA is filed under the name Antarcticimicrobium sediminis. RNAcentral's name for it is "Bacterial small subunit ribosomal RNA". It matches the Rfam family "Bacterial small subunit ribosomal RNA", at positions 129 to 662 of the family's 1533-position model. The record is from Rfam by way of RNAcentral. Lineage: Bacteria; Pseudomonadati; Pseudomonadota; Alphaproteobacteria; Rhodobacterales; Paracoccaceae.
CCCAUAAGACUGGGAUAACUCCGGGAAACCGGGGCUAAUACCGGAUAACAUUUUGAACCGCAUGGUUCGAAAUUGAAAGGCGGCUUCGGCUGUCACUUAUGGAUGGACCCGCGUCGCAUUAGCUAGUUGGUGAGGUAACGGCUCACCAAGGCAACGAUGCGUAGCCGACCUGAGAGGGUGAUCGGCCACACUGGGACUGAGACACGGCCCAGACUCCUACGGGAGGCAGCAGUAGGGAAUCUUCCGCAAUGGACGAAAGUCUGACGGAGCAACGCCGCGUGAGUGAUGAAGGCUUUCGGGUCGUAAAACUCUGUUGUUAGGGAAGAACAAGUGCUAGUUGAAUAAGCUGGCACCUUGACGGUACCUAACCAGAAAGCCACGGCUAACUACGUGCCAGCAGCCGCGGUAAUACGUAGGUGGCAAGCGUUAUCCGGAAUUAUUGGGCGUAAAGCGCGCGCAGGUGGUUUCUUAAGUCUGAUGUGAAAGCCCACGGCUCAACCGUGGAGGGUCAUUGGAAACUGGGAGACUUGAGUGCAGAAGAGGAAAGU